Molecule: ribosomal RNA, 468 nt
Filed under: uncultured bacterium
Lineage: Bacteria
Description: partial 16S ribosomal RNA
Rfam family: Bacterial small subunit ribosomal RNA
Source: RNAcentral
GACGAACGCUGGCGGCGUGCUUAACACAUGCAAGUCGAACGGAAAGGCCCUGCUUUUGUGGGGUGCUCGAGUGGCGAACGGGUGAGUAACACGUGAGUAACCUGCCCUUGACUUUGGGAUAACUUCAGGAAACUGGGGCUAAUCCCGGAUCGGAGCUCCUGCUGCAUGGUGGGGGUUGGAACGUUUCUGCGGUUGGGGAUGGACUCGCGGCUUAUCAGCUUGUUGGUGGGGUAGUGGCUUACCAAGGCUUUGCCCGGUAGCCGGCCUGAGAGGGUGACCGGCCACAUUGGGACUGAGAUACGGCCCAGACUCCUACAGGGGGCAGCAGUGGGGAAUAUUGCACAAUGGGCGGAAGCCUGAUGCAGCAACGCCGCGUGCGGGAUGACGGCCUUCGGGUUGUAAACCGCUUUCGCCUGUGACGAAGCGUGAGUGACGGUAAUGGGUAAAGAAGCACCGGCUAACUACGUG